This is a regulatory RNA element of 183 nucleotides. It matches the Rfam family "Lysine riboswitch aptamer". Rfam says of the family: Riboswitches are metabolite binding domains within certain messenger RNAs that serve as precision sensors for their corresponding targets. Allosteric rearrangement of mRNA structure is mediated by ligand binding, and this results in modulation of gene expression. The record is from Rfam.
AGUGAAGGUAGAGGUGCGAACUUCAAGAGUAAUAAUUCGGAGAAGAAUGAGCUUCAGGGAAGAAUUAUGAAAGGGAUAGAUCGCCGAAGUAAGGAAAGUUCUCAUGACUUUCUUUGCUGGUUUUGCAUUGAAUAAAUGUAAGACUGUCAAAACAAGGAACUGUUUUGGAGAGCUAUCUCACUG